This 1200-nucleotide ribosomal RNA is filed under the name Triticum aestivum (bread wheat). Its description in RNAcentral is "partial small subunit ribosomal RNA". The record is from RNAcentral. Lineage: Eukaryota; Viridiplantae; Streptophyta; Magnoliopsida; Poales; Poaceae.
AUGGAGCUCUUCCAAGGGGAGGAGCCGGCCCACGACUUCCUCUCGCUCCGCGCCGGGGGCUCGUCGGCGUUCCAGCACAGGCAGCGCUCCGGCCAGCAAGGCCCGAAGUCGCUUGAGCCAGCCAGCGGCGGCGGCACGGCCAGUUCCGCGGCAGGUUUGGGGCAGCACGUGCUGCCGGGCGGCGUCGGGACCUUCAGCAUCAGGCAACUGCCUGACGCUCAGCCGAGGGAGGAGGCUGGCACUGGCAGGGAACCGUCUGUUUCGGUGUCUCAUGGCUCCAGAAUGGAGACUGCGCAUGAGGCACGGUCCGGAAUUAUGGUUCGUAGUGCUCCACCCACACCCGCAAUGUGGCAAGAUUCUAGCACCGACAACAAGAGAUCUAGAGGGUCGAGAGCAGAGGGGAGAAGCAGCGGCAGCAGUGCCGAUCAGGAUCCCAGCAGCCCGAGAUCGAAGCAUUCCGCUACCGAGCAGCGGCGGAGGACCAAGAUAAAUGACAGGCUUGACGUACUCCGCGACCUCCUGCCGAACUGUGAUCAGAAGAGGGAUAAAGCUUCUUUCCUUCUGCAGGUUAUUGAGUACAUAAGGCUCUUGCAAGAGAAAUGCCAAAAAUAUGAGUCAGGCAUUCCAGAACAGAACGACGUCGAUGCCAACUGCAUGCCAUGGGACAAAGUGUACUACAGAUCACGUUGGAGGAACACGCAGAACAUCAGUCAAGUCCAAGGAGGAGGCUUAUCAGCUACCACAGAGGAGGACAUGAACAAAGAGCAAUACAGUUCCAAAGGCAUUGCAAGUGCACCUGCUGCUUCUCUCUUCAACACACAAAGUGCAAGAGAAAUCAGCACAGCCCCCAGUUCCUCCCAGAACAUAGCAGAGAACAGUAUGCCUACCAAUCAGCUACCGUGGCUAAGUAUGUCAACCAUGAACCAAAACUGCGAUGCAAGCAACGGACUGCUAAGCAAGCAUGAUACACAAAUGCCGCAAGAUGACAGCCAGAGUCUUUCAAGUGCUUACUCCCAAGGGUUGUUACAUAAACUGAAAGAAGCUCUUCAGAGGUCGGGAGUAGACCCAUCUCAAACUAAAAUAUCCGUAGAGAUCAAUAUGGAUAGACGGGCCAGAGCCAAUGCUCAUAUACAUGACAGUUCAAAGGCUAACGAAGGCAAAGAACCUGUCCAGGUAGCCAAGAGGCUGCGGUGCGACUGA